Long non-coding RNA from Daphnia pulicaria, 995 nucleotides. RefSeq lists it as uncharacterized. NCBI's taxonomy places the organism in Eukaryota, Metazoa, Arthropoda, Branchiopoda, Diplostraca, Daphniidae. The record is from RefSeq and is a predicted model, not a curated record. The transcript is spliced from 5 exons.
CGAGUUUCGAAAAAAAGACAAAAAUGGAGGAUUCUGCGAAGAUUACAAAGAAAACGGAACCAUCACUUAUUUGGAAACGUACGUGGCUGCACAAGAAAUAAAAUCUGAAACAAAUUAGAAUUACACACAAAAUGUGAUCGUCGUGUGAUCGACAAUCUCUGGUUGUCCUGGCUUUCCAUGCUCUCCACUAUCCAGGCUGUUUGGCGGGAAAAUGUAACUAAGAAUAGAAAUGAUUGUAGAAGUUUUUAAGAGAGAUUUGAGCUAAACAAAUUUCAAAAUUGUGGAAAUUUUAAUUCCUGAGAAUAGCAUUUAUAUCAUGUUUUAGGCCAGAGCCAGCCAUCGUAACAAGAUAUUCAAGGUUUUCCUGUGCUGCUAUUGACCUGUCGUCACAUUAAUCUCAGGGUCAUCACUUGGAUAAACAGCAUCCAGUUCCAUUGGAGAAACUACCCAGAUGUCAAUUAAGUUAUAGAUCCCUUCUUCCCCUUUUCUUUAAAUGUCCUCGUGUACGCCCAUGCGAGUGUGGGUGUAUUCACGAGGACACCCUUUCAAUUCCCUAUCCCGUCUGGUGUGUAAUUCAACUCUUCAGCUGAUGGAUGGACUUGUCAAUGGAUGUCUGGCCGUACUUUCCAGUAAUAAAGGUUUUUUCUCUCCAUUCUAUUCCCACCGCGAGCGAUUGGCUAUAAACUGUGCCGCAUUGAAGGCCAAGGGAAGACGACACACCUGUUUGUCGGCUGGCCGGCAUUCCAAUCGUCCAACAAAUCAAUAAAGGCGGACCGGCCUACACACGUAUGUAAUGGGCGACAAACAUUUCCCUUGGAGACCUGUACACCUAUAUGCGUUUCCGACGACGCCUUGUGUGUGUUUGUUUGCUGCUGGAGGAUUCCGUCGACCAUCAGCAAGAGAAACCCGGCAUCAACUCGGCUGUAUGUACGUAUUUUCAAGAGUUUUUUUGGUUGUCCAUCGGAGCGUGAAUACAUCGGCCAGGCACAUCAGCG